This 424-nucleotide ribosomal RNA is filed under the name uncultured bacterium. Its description in RNAcentral is "partial 16S ribosomal RNA". It matches the Rfam family "Bacterial small subunit ribosomal RNA", at positions 360 to 776 of the family's 1533-position model. The record is from RNAcentral.
AACGUUGGACAAUGGGCGCAAGCAUGAUCCAUGCAUGCCGUGCGAGUGAAUAACGCCUUCGCGCCGCAAAUCUUUUUCUGCCGGGAAGAAAUCUCGCAGGUUAAUACCCUGCGCGUUAGACGGUACCGUCAUAAGAUGCAGCGGCUAACUACGUUCCAGCGGCCGCGGUAAUACGUAGGGUGCGAGCGUUAAUCGGAAUUACUGGGCGUAAAGCGUGCGCAGGCGGUUGAUUAAGACAGGCGUGAAAUCCCCGGGCUUAACCUGGGAACUGCGCUUGUGACUGGUCAGCUAGAGUACGGCAGAGGGGGGUGGAAUUCCACGUGUAGCAGUGAAAUGCGUAGAGAUGUGGAGGAACACCGAUGGCGAAGGCAGCCCCCUGGGCCGAUACUGACGCUCAUGCACGAAAGCGUGGGUAGCAAACAGG